AGAGACAGCAGCAGCCGCGGUAAUACGUAGGGUGCAAGCGUUAAUCGGAAUUACUGGGCGUAAAGCGUGCGCAGGCGGUUUGUUAAGACAGAUGUGAAAUCCCCGGGCUCAACCUGGGAACUGCAUUUGUGACUGGCAAGCUAGAGUGUGGCAGAGGGGGGUGGAAUUCCGCGUGUAGCAGUGUAAUGCGUAGAUAUGCGGAGGAACACCGAUGGCGAAGGCAGCCCCCUGGGCCAACACUGACGCUCAUGCACGAAAGCGUGGAGAGCAAACAGGAUUAGAUACCCCAGUAGUCCCUGUCUCUUAUAC
Molecule: ribosomal RNA, 309 nt
Filed under: uncultured bacterium
Lineage: Bacteria
Description: partial 16S ribosomal RNA
Rfam family: Bacterial small subunit ribosomal RNA
Source: RNAcentral